GCCUCUUUAGCUCAGUGGUAGAGCACUGGUCUCGUACGCAAUCGCCCAGGUAACCAGGGGUCGUGAGUUCAAUCCUCACAGGAGGCA
Molecule: transfer RNA, 87 nt
Filed under: Daphnia pulex (common water flea)
Lineage: Eukaryota; Metazoa; Arthropoda; Branchiopoda; Diplostraca; Daphniidae
Rfam family: tRNA
About the family: Transfer RNA (tRNA) molecules are approximately 80 nucleotides in length.
Source: Rfam by way of RNAcentral